UUAAAUUGAAGAGUUUGAUCAUGGCUCAGAUUGAACGCUGGCGGCAGGCCUAACACAUGCAAGUCGAACGGUAACAGGAAGCAGCUUGCUGCUUUGCUGACGAGUGGCGGACGGGUGAGUAAUGUCUGGGAAACUGCCUGAUGGAGGGGGAUAACUACUGGAAACGGUGGCUAAUACCGCAUAAUGUCGCAAGACCAAAGAGGGGGACCUUAGGGCCUCUUGCCAUCAGAUGUGCCCAGAUGGGAUUAGCUUGUUGGUGAGGUAACGGCUCACCAAGGCGACGAUCCCUAGCUGGUCUGAGAGGAUGACCAGCCACACUGGAACUGAGACACGGUCCAGACUCCUACGGGAGGCAGCAGUGGGGAAUAUUGCACAAUGGGCGCAAGCCUGAUGCAGCCAUGCCGCGUGUAUGAAGAAGGCCUUCGGGUUGUAAAGUACUUUCAGCGGGGAGGAAGGUGUUGUGGUUAAUAACCACAGCAAUUGACGUUACCCGCAGAAGAAGCACCGGCUAACUCCGUGCCAGCAGCCGCGGUAAUACGGAGGGUGCAAGCGUUAAUCGGAAUUACUGGGCGUAAAGCGCACGCAGGCGGUCUGUCAAGUCGGAUGUGAAAUCCCCGGGCUCAACCUGGGAACUGCAUUCGAAACUGGCAGGCUUGAGUCUUGUAGAGGGGGGUGGAAUUCCAGGUGUAGCGGUGAAAUGCGUAGAGAUCUGGAGGAAUACCGGUGGCGAAGGCGGCCCCCUGGACAAAGACUGACGCUCAGGUGCGAAAGCGUGGGGAGCAAACAGGAUUAGAUACCCUGGUAGUCCACGCCGUAAACGAUGUCUACUUGGAGGUUGUGCCCUUGAGGCGUGGCUUCCGGAGCUAACGCGUUAAGUAGACCGCCUGGGGAGUACGGCCGCAAGGUUAAAACUCAAAUGAAUUGACGGGGGCCCGCACAAGCGGUGGAGCAUGUGGUUUAAUUCGAUGCAACGCGAAGAACCUUACCUGGUCUUGACAUCCACGGAAGUUUUCAGAGAUGAGAA
Molecule: ribosomal RNA, 1024 nt
Filed under: Salmonella enterica subsp. enterica serovar Weslaco str. 247K
Lineage: Bacteria; Pseudomonadati; Pseudomonadota; Gammaproteobacteria; Enterobacterales; Enterobacteriaceae
Description: bacterial SSU rRNA
Rfam family: Bacterial small subunit ribosomal RNA
Source: RNAcentral